Molecule: ribosomal RNA, 450 nt
Filed under: uncultured bacterium
Lineage: Bacteria
Description: bacterial SSU rRNA
Rfam family: Bacterial small subunit ribosomal RNA
Source: RNAcentral
AAGCCGAGCGGUAGGGUUUCUUCGGAAACCUGAGAGCGGCGCACGGGUGCGGAACACGUGUGCAACCUACCUUUAUCAGGGGGAUAGCCUUUCGAAAGGAAGAUUAAUACCCCAUAAUAUAUUUUACGGCAUCGUAAGAUAUUGAAAACUCCGGUGGAUAGAGAUGGGCACGCGCAAGAUUAGAUAGUUGGUGAGGUAACGGCUCACCAAGUCAAUGAUCUUUAGGGGGCCUGAGAGGGUGAUCCCCCACACUGGUACUGAGACACGGACCAGACUCCUACGGGAGGCAGCAGUGAGGAAUAUUGGACAAUGGGUGAGAGCCUGAUCCAGCCAUCCCGCGUGAAGGACUAAGGCCCUAUGGGUUGUAAACUUCUUUUAUACUGGGAUAAACCUACUUACGUGUAAGUAGCUGAAGGUACAGUAUGAAUAAGCACCGGCUAACUCCGUGCC